Molecule: ribosomal RNA, 455 nt
Filed under: uncultured bacterium
Lineage: Bacteria
Description: partial 16S ribosomal RNA
Rfam family: Bacterial small subunit ribosomal RNA
Source: RNAcentral
UGGGGAAUAUUGGACAAUGGGGGCAACCCUGAUCCAGCAAUGCCGCAUGUGUGAAGAAGGUCUUCGGAUUGUAAAGCACUUUCGACGGGGACGAUGAUGACGGUACCCGUAGAAGAAGCCCCGGCUAACUUCGUGCCAGCAGCCGCGGUAAUACGAAGGGGGCUAGCGUUGCUCGGAAUGACUGGGCGUAAAGGGCGUGUAGGCGGUUUACACAGUCAGAUGUGAAAUCCCCGGGCUUAACCUGGGAGCUGCAUUUGAUACGUGUAGACUAGAGUGUGAGAGAGGGUUGUGGAAUUCCCAGUGUAGAGGUGAAAUUCGUAGAUAUUGGGAAGAACACCGGUGGCGAAGGCGGCAACCUGGCUCAUGACUGACGCUGAGGCGCGAAAGCGUGGGGAGCAAACAGGAUUAGAUACCCUGGUAGCCCACGCUGUAAACGAUGUGUGCUAGAUGUUGGG